ACUUUCAAAGGCUGCACGCUUGCUGUGCUUAUUCUCUCCCACCUUAGCACCAAGCAAGGUGCAAGGCUUCAGCACUUGCACUUAGUGAACAGUCUUUAGUUUAGAUCUGGUGGCAGAAGAACCAUCUGGUUAUGGCCAUGGAAGAGUACUUCUCUGCUGUCCAAAAAAUGGAACAAUUGGUCUUGUUCCCCAGUCUCCUGAGAGGUGUUUUUGUGGAACAGGAUGAGACAGCCACUGCUGAUUUUGGUGAAAAAGACUUGUAUGAGCACUACCUCCAGCUGAAAUCAAUCAAACUCGCUGUGGAGGGUGCCCAAGUCCCCAGAGAGAAAUGCAAACUCCCUGUCACCAACAAAGAGGAAAAAAAAGAGAACAGAGGGGAUGCCAAUCUCGAAGAGCUGUUUUACCAUCAUUUUACAGGCUUGUACCAUGUUCUGAUGACCCUGACCAGGAAAGCCAAUGCACUGACCAGAAAGUACAAUGAUAUUAUUGGAGAGAUCAACCAGAAUGAUACCAUGCUUACCUGGUGAAAUGCCCGCCAUUACCUUCAAAGGGGCAGCCCGCCACCCAGAGACUGUGUACCGCCAGCGCCUUACUGCAACUACUGCCGCUGAAGUUAUUUGAUGGACCACUGAGAUCCUGACCUUCUGCUAACCGUAUGCUGUGCUGCAAUAGCCAAAAUAAAUAGGGUUCUUCCACACUG
Alligator mississippiensis (American alligator) is the source of this 700-nucleotide long non-coding RNA. RefSeq lists it as uncharacterized. NCBI's taxonomy places the organism in Eukaryota, Metazoa, Chordata, Crocodylia, Alligatoridae. The record is from RefSeq and is a predicted model, not a curated record. The transcript is spliced from 2 exons.